This 238-nucleotide long non-coding RNA is filed under the name Lathyrus oleraceus (garden pea). RNAcentral describes it as "Pisum sativum (pea) long non-coding RNA (PSAT_LNC022315)". Lineage: Eukaryota; Viridiplantae; Streptophyta; Magnoliopsida; Fabales; Fabaceae. The record is from RNAcentral.
GAGGAUUCAGUGGCCGAUCCAUAAACUUUAUUCGGUGGGGGAAAUUCAAUAGAAAAAUAAUGUUAAAAGAUUUAAUUACAAUUUUGGUCAUCUAUUUUGCCAUAUUUAUUAAAUAAAUUUUUAUUUUAAAUUUAAAUAAUUUUGGUUCUCCUCUCAUCUUUUUACAUUUAAAUUUGAUUAUGUAUUCAUUUUUAAAUCACUUGUGAAACAUGACAAAUCAUUAUAUUACCAAUAUUUG